CUUGCUUAGUAAUUUGCUUUGAUUUAGUUUUAUAUACACAUUAUUGUUAUUUCUAUAAUUCUUAAUGAAAGAUAGUUUGUUUAUGGUAGUAAUGAAUAUUACUAAUUGGGGAAACUUUGACUUGGUUAAUUUCAUUAAAUGUUGAUUAAAUAUGUGCCAGCAGUCGCGGUUAUACAUAUGAUAUAAGUAAAUACGUUUAGUUUGUUAGUUAAAUAAUAUUGAUGUAGGGUCUAUUGUGAUGAUUUUUAGGUGAAAUUAAAAAUUUUUAUUAAGGUUUCUUUUAGGUUGAUUGAGGCUAUGAAAUUUAUUCAAUAAACUAGGAUUAGAUACCCUAUUAUUUUAAAUGUAAAUUUGGAGCUUGAGUAGUAAUUGUUAAGGUCUUGAAACUUAAAGAAUUUGGCGGCAUUUUAGUCUAUUUAGAGGAAUCUGUUCCAUAAUUGAUAGUCCACGCUGAACCUUACUUAAUUUAUAAGUAUGUAUACCGCCGUUUAUUGAAUAUUUUUUUAGAAUCAAUGUUCUUGUAAUUUGUUUUUAUUUUAUUUCAGGUCAAGGUGCAGCUGAUAAUUAAGGGGAAAUGGAUUACAAUAUUUUAAGGUAAACGUAUUAAUAGAUUGAAAUAUAAUUAUGAAGGUGGAUUUAAUAGUAAUUUUUUGUAGAUUGUAAAUAUGAUUAGAGCUCUAAGAUGUGUACACAUCGCCCGUCACUCUCGUUGAAAUUAUAAAGUGAGAUAAGUCGUAACAAAGUAGGUGUACCGGAAGGUGUAGCUAGGAUGCU
RNAcentral lists this non-coding RNA (774 nucleotides) under Byrsotria cabrerai. The record is from RNAcentral. Lineage: Eukaryota; Metazoa; Arthropoda; Insecta; Blattodea; Blaberidae.